ACCGACAAAUUCUUUUGACACCAUUGCAUUCAGUCUUCUUUUUCCGCAUCGGCAUCAAGUGCGCCGGAAACACUGACUCUGGCAGACGAGCUGGAGCAGGUGACCUACACGCAGGACUCGGCCGCAUGACCCACAGCUGCCUUUUCACUCAGGCCGGGACAGUGGCAGAAAGACCAGACCAGAUAGGAUCCCCUGAUGAGCAGCUCAGGAUUUUACAUCAGUGCUCUGGAAACGGGAGGCGAGGCAGGCGAUGCAGGGGCGGCAGGCUAGGUGCUGGUGCCGGCUCAGAUUUCUAGGAUUCGGUCCCAGUUUGGUCACAAAUGGCAGCAGGAUCCUUGGAGAGG
Molecule: long non-coding RNA, 344 nt
Organism: Felis catus (domestic cat)
Lineage: Eukaryota; Metazoa; Chordata; Mammalia; Carnivora; Felidae
Exons: 2
Source: RefSeq, a predicted model, not a curated record